AUAACCCCAAACACUUCUCAUAGAUCUUUUGCUUUUGAAUUUUUAAUCACUGCAUAGUCUCUGAAGACUUGAAGAUGCCCAAACCUUCAGUAUGCUCUCUCCCCUUUCUUCCCUUAGGCUCUGGUUCCCAGAUAGGCAGUAAGAAGGAAUGACCUAAGCUCUCUCCUUCCUGAGUCUCAGAUGCAUUUGAGUGUCUGACCGUGCCUCUCGACGAUUCUUACAUCUAUUAUACACUGUCAAGCCUUCGAAUCUCUCAGCCGAGACGCUUCUGCUGACUUCCUGCACUCCUGCUGAUGGAUGGGCCUCUUUCUAAUGGAGCCGCCCACAGAACAAAAUGCACAAAUAGUCCUUUGCCCCUAUUAUGAUUAAGGCCCAAUAGAAUUCUUGUCAAAUACUCUAUUGCACUUUUGCCUGUACUCACAGAAAUUCAUGAUAUUUACAAUUAAUAGUGUGUUUUUAAAUGAAUAUAAGUAAAGUAUACUUGCAUUCUA
Molecule: long non-coding RNA, 491 nt
Organism: Myotis myotis
Lineage: Eukaryota; Metazoa; Chordata; Mammalia; Chiroptera; Vespertilionidae
Exons: 2
Source: RefSeq, a predicted model, not a curated record